Long non-coding RNA from Falco peregrinus (peregrine falcon), 1003 nucleotides. RefSeq lists it as uncharacterized. The record is from RefSeq and is a predicted model, not a curated record. NCBI's taxonomy places the organism in Eukaryota, Metazoa, Chordata, Aves, Falconiformes, Falconidae. The transcript is spliced from 5 exons.
CCCAUCAAUGUAUGUAAGAAUCCCACUGAGAGGAAGGCAAAUGCAUUUUAUAAGAAGGAAUUUCACAAGAUUUGUGUUAACUAUGUUACAUUACAGCUCCUUUUUCUGUGGCAACCAAUGUGUUACUGUGCUAACAGACUAACCAGAAGACAGAACUCAUGUUUUACAGAAACUUGUGUUGUGUCCUUUUACAGAACAAACUCUUGAUGGAAUAUUUGUCAGGAUCUGUAGAUCUGCUAUUUCAUUGCUACGGUUGCUUUCUCCCCCAGCAAAUGUACACUGGCUGUGCCUUUACGUGUGACUAUCGGGGGAUGUUACUGUGCCCAAUGACCUUCCCUGACACUGCUUUUCUAUGGCCUUGGGUGACAGCUCCACAGUUACAUUAUGUUUGAGAUACCAUGCUGUUUGUGAUCUGUUGGCACUGUUUAAAAAGGAAAUUGUGCAGGGCUCAUCUGCACAGCUUCCCAGUCACAGACCAGUGCUUCAGGGGAGCAGUGAACAGGGAGAUCAGGAGUUUUCUUUUCACAUGCUGCAAUCUCGUUUUGAGACGCCAGCUUGCUGAGAAUGAUAAAAAGAACUGGGGCCAUUUGCAUACAGGUGAAGAGAGGCGGUGAUGUCCCGUGUUCCGCAGAGGCCAAGGCACCACAGAACUUUGUCCUGCAGGGGAAAACUGCUCACAGGAGGCAAAUAUUCCUAAUGGGAAUGUACUGUUCGAAGCAUCCUAUCUCCGCUCUCUUGGCUUAGAGAGGUCAUGUUCUGAUAAUGCUCCUAGUACAAAAUUCCUAUAAAUGAAAGGGAACCAAGAUACCUACUGCUGAGCAGCGCAGCAUACAGCAGCGUGUGGAGGUGAUAAUGGAGUCACAGCUCCGUAACUGUGAAGAUCUCACCCAGUCUUCUUUUAAAAUGCUGAAGUCUUAAGGUAAUUAAUUUUAAGACUGCUUUAUAAGUUGUUUUCAUUUUCUCCUUUUUCCUCAUUUUUAUUACUGGUUUUCCUAUGAUCUGU